RNAcentral lists this ribosomal RNA (126 nucleotides) under Oidiodendron tenuissimum. Its description in RNAcentral is "partial large subunit ribosomal RNA". It matches the Rfam family "Eukaryotic large subunit ribosomal RNA", at positions 99 to 224 of the family's 3401-position model. Lineage: Eukaryota; Fungi; Ascomycota; Leotiomycetes; Myxotrichaceae. The record is from RNAcentral.
CGGCAACAGCUCAAAUUUGAAAUCUGGCCCCCUCGGGGCCCGAGUUGUAAUUUGGAGAAGAUGCUUCGGGUGUGGCCCCGGUCUAAGUUCCUUGGAACAGGACGUCACAGAGGGUGAGAAUCCCGU